CGGUAGAGAGAAGCUUGCUUCUCUUGAGAGCGGCGGACGGGUGAGUAAUGCCUAGGAAUCUGCCUGGUAGUGGGGGAUAACGUUCGGAAACGGACGCUAAUACCGCAUACGUCCUACGGGAGAAAGCAGGGGACCUUCGGGCCUUGCGCUAUCAGAUGAGCCUAGGUCGGAUUAGCUAGUUGGUGAGGUAAUGGCUCACCAAGGCGACGAUCCGUAACUGGUCUGAGAGGAUGAUCAGUCACACUGGAACUGAGACACGGUCCAGACUCCUACGGGAGGCAGCAGUGGGGAAUAUUGGACAAUGGGCGAAAGCCUGAUCCAGCCAUGCCGCGUGUGUGAAGAAGGUCUUCGGAUUGUAAAGCACUUUAAGUUGGGAGGAAGGGCAUUAACCUAAUACGUUAGUGUUUUGACGUUACCGACAGAAUAAGCACCGGCUAACUCUGUGCCAGCAGCCGCGGUAAUACAGAGGGUGCAAGCGUUAAUCGGAAUUACUGGGCGUAAAGCGCGCGUAGGUGGUUUGUUAAGUUGGAUGUGAAAUCCCCGGGCUCAACCUGGGAACUGCAUUCAAAACUGACUGACUAGAGUAUGGUAGAGGGUGGUGGAAUUUCCUGUGUAGCGGUGAAAUGCGUAGAUAUAGGAAG
This 641-nucleotide ribosomal RNA is filed under the name Pseudomonas fluorescens. RNAcentral describes it as "bacterial SSU rRNA". It matches the Rfam family "Bacterial small subunit ribosomal RNA", at positions 67 to 703 of the family's 1533-position model. The record is from RNAcentral. Lineage: Bacteria; Pseudomonadati; Pseudomonadota; Gammaproteobacteria; Pseudomonadales; Pseudomonadaceae.